RNAcentral lists this ribosomal RNA (2634 nucleotides) under Triticum aestivum (bread wheat). Its description in RNAcentral is "partial small subunit ribosomal RNA". Lineage: Eukaryota; Viridiplantae; Streptophyta; Magnoliopsida; Poales; Poaceae. The record is from RNAcentral.
AUGGCCGGCGCCGUCGGCUUCCUCGCGGACGUGAACGACAACUGGCUUAAGCCACGUCUGCUCCGAGUGGUGGUUGGCGAGCGGAUGCCGCAGCCGGGGAGCACCGUCCCGCCGGAGGAGCUGGCCUCCAUCCUCGAGGCGGUGCGCACGCACGGCCUCCUCAACGAGGUCCUCCAGGACCCGUCGGACCAAAAGCUCGCCGAGGCGUGGCGCGCCACGGUCGACGCCUGGGUCGAGCGCGUCGGCGAGCUCGUGGAGAGCGACUCGCCAUAUAGUCGUUGGUUGGGAACUUGUUUUCUUGGCGUGACUUUCCAAGAAUGCAGCAGUGAGCGCUUUGCUGAAUCAUACUCUGAUUGGUUUGAGAAGAUUCUGAGGAACUUGCAGCAGGGACCGUCUAGCUUGCAACUUGUUACUGUGGUCUCUUGUACUUCCAUGUCUGAUCUAUUUGCGAGAUUGGCGAAAUUUUUGAAUUUAAAGAAAGAGGCAUCAUCCUUUGCUGGAAGAGUUGUUGAACCAUUGCUGCUGCUUUUAAAUGAAAAUGGUCCAGUGGCGGAUGAAGCAAUUGAUUUGCUAAGGACAGUUAUUAAAUUGUAUCCCUCAUCUGUAAAUCGACACUACAAUAAAGUCGAAUCCACCAUUGCAUCCAAGAUUAUGAGUACAGAAGUCAAUGUAAAAUUAUCAAAGAAAUUUGCGAGAGUCUUAGCAAUGCUUCCUUCUGUCCGAGUAUCUGAGGGCACUUGGUCAUUGAUGAUUCAGAAAGUACUGAUGGGUAUAAACAAUCUUCUGAAUGAUGCUUUUGUUGGGCUGGAAGAAGAAAAGAAAGGGCGUGAGAUUAUGAUGCUUCUAGUUCCACCUGGUAAUGACCCUCCACCAGUGUUGGGAGAUCAAGUAAAGUUGGGAGGCAAUUUGCAUGUGACAAAGAAAUUUCGUGUCUUCACUGUUCCUACUAUUUCAGCGCUUGCCCAUUGCUGCUGCAUGAUGCUGACUAGUCAUUACCCGGUUCAGGUCACCGUUCCUGUCCGUGCUUUGAUAGCUCUGUCACGGAGAGUGCUCUUAGUUGAUGGAUCAUUGCAGAAGUCGUUCCCUUCAACUACUUCCUUGCACCAAGAGCUUAUUUGUUUUGAGCUUCCAUCAUUGCAUUCAUCUUUCUUGGAUUUGCUCCAUGCAACUAUUAAAGGAAUGCGAAGCCAACUUUUACCGCAUGCUGCUAAUAUUGUACGGCUUGUAACUGAUUACUUCAAAAUUGCGAAGCUGCCUACUACGAGGACAAAAGUUUACAGCAUUGUUCAGCUGUUGCUGACCUCCAUGGGUGUUGGAAUGUCUCUCCAUUUGUUAGAGGUAAUAGUCAGCAAUGCAGUUGGUGAUCUGGAUGAUAAUUGUGUAAAAGAAAUGACUCUAUUCAGCACAAAUCCAUCAAAAGGGAAUAGUGAAUCUUUGUCAAAAAGUUACUCCAAGAAGAGGAAGCAAGAACCACAAAUGCAAAAUUCACAUGCCUUGGGUAUGGAGAAAGCAGCAAUCAGCCCAAAGAAAAUGAAAACCUCUUCCAUGCCAACUUCAUCGAAGGGAAUGACCCCUGAAACUCCAGGAGAUGUUAGAAUGUUCACACCACUCUCUGUUAAAAUAGCUGCACUAGAAACCUUGGAAAUUCUUCUGAAUGUGGGGGGUUCAUUGAGGACAGAUCACUGGAGGGCAAAAGUGGACUUGCUCCUAAUUAACAUAGCUACAAGUGCUUGCGACUCAGGAGCAGGGUAUGAUCCAUCAAUAUCCAAAGUCGGGGAGACAAGCAUAUCAGACUAUCGACUUGCUUCAUUGAAAGCAUUGCUGGCAUCUUUUCUUUCAUCUCCUCAUGCCCGGCCACUUUAUUUAGCCCAAGGAACUGAACUAUUUAGAAAAGGGAAGCUAGAGAUAGGCACUACGCUCGCAGAGUUUUGUUCGCAUGCUUUGCUGGCUUUGGAUGUUCUUACGCACCCACGAGCCCUUUCUCUAGAAAAGGCAGGUCCUUUAGUUCCUGGACUCAACCGCAGUGAACCAGAAAAGGCAAUUUUUGGUGCUAGCACAUUUAACUUUUCACCAUCCCAAGGGCAGCGGCAGGUUAUUGCGGAUGAAGAUACUUAUGAUGAUUGGUUGCCAUCCAUCAAGGAUAAUGAACCGUCAGAAAAGUCCACUCUUGUAAAAGAAGUUCCGCAAAUUGAUUCACAUACAAUUGCUGAGGCAGAAGAAGAUGUUCCUGCAUGCAACAGGAGUGAUACCAUUAUGGUGGUUGCGGCCACAGAAAAAACCUCCGAGCCAAUGACAGUGGAUAAUCCUUCUAGCUCCAAUGUUGCUUCAAAUCCAAUCUACUCAAGGCCACCUGAAGCACAGAAAGCUGCAGCUACCCCCUUUCGAGAGGAAAAGCGUGCGGAUCAUGUUGAUUCUCUUCUUCAGAAUAAAAGCUCAGCUGUGGUCAACCUACCAUUCCGCAAUCUGGCAACCUCAGGUGAAAAACCAUCUGACCCAGGUGUUGCUGCUCCGAGCAGCUAUAAAGAUGUCUCUUCAACCCGCUUCAUUCAGCCCAUCAAGGCAGACUUGUCUGAUACAGAGUCAGUAGACUCGAUGCCAGAGAUACAAGACGGCGACCCGGAUUCUGACUAUUGA